AGCGAACGCUGGCGGCAGACCUAACACAUGCAAGUCGAACGAAGUCUUCGGACUUAGUGGCGGACGGGUGAGUAACACGUGGGAACGUGCCUUUAGGUUCGGAAUAACUCAGGGAAACUUGUGCUAAUACCGAAUGUGCCCUUCGGGGGAAAGAUUUAUCGCCUUUAGAGCGGCCCGCGUCUGAUUAGCUAGUUGGUGAGGUAAAGGCUCACCAAGGCGACGAUCAGUAGCUGGUCUGAGAGGAUGAUCAGCCACAUUGGGACUGAGACACGGCCCAAACUCCUACGGGAGGCAGCAGUGGGGAAUCUUGCGCAAUGGGCGAAAGCCUGACGCAGCCAUGCCGCGUGAAUGAUGAAGGUCUUAGGAUUGUAAAAUUCUUUCACCGGGGACGAUAAUGACGGUACCCGGAGAAGAAGCCCCGGCUAACUUCGUGCCAGCCGCCGCGGUAA
RNAcentral lists this ribosomal RNA (449 nucleotides) under uncultured bacterium. RNAcentral's name for it is "partial 16S ribosomal RNA". It matches the Rfam family "Bacterial small subunit ribosomal RNA", at positions 29 to 523 of the family's 1533-position model. The record is from RNAcentral.